UACGGAGGGAGCUAGCGUUGUUCGGAAUUACUGGGCGUAAAGCGCACGUAGGUGGCUUUGUAAGUUAGAGGUGAAAGCCCGGGGCUCAACCCCGGAAUUGCCUUUAAGACUGCAUCGCUUGAAUCCGGGAGAGGUGAGUGGAAUUCCGAGUGUAGAGGUGAAAUUCGUAGAUAUUCGGAAGAACACCAGUGGCGAAGGCGGCUCACUGGACCGGUAUUGACGCUGAGGUGCGAAAGCGUGGGGAGCAAACAGG
Molecule: ribosomal RNA, 253 nt
Filed under: uncultured bacterium
Lineage: Bacteria
Description: partial 16S ribosomal RNA
Rfam family: Bacterial small subunit ribosomal RNA
Source: RNAcentral